UACAGUAUUUUCUGUGAGUUCACUUCGUUGUAUCCGUCAAUAUAACCAAAACGUCAACAACGACAAAUAUAAAAGAAAUAAAAAAUAUAUGAAAUAACACUCUAUCAACCCUCGCAAAGAACUUACUCGCUUGCGUAAUUAUUCGACAAAUAUAUCCUAACAACAUUUUACUCCAUGCUUAACCAAGAGAUCAUUGACCAAUUGUUUUAAUUAUUUUCUGCGAAAGACAGAAGAAAGAAGAAAAAGGAAAAUUAACUACGCCAACACCUAGCGGAGCUUUGUUACUUUGGCAAGCGCGGCCACCCAUGUAGUCUAUAUAGGGACACACCAUGAAUUAACGAACAACGAUGAGAAUUCAAAGUGCAUGUGUGCGAAACGGCAACGAGCCUAAAUAAGUCGUCACUAGUGGUAGUUAUGCGGAAAUAUAGAAGGAUUAAUAAGGAGUUUCUCUCAGUGCACACCCCAGGAUGUUAUUGAGGGUGUAAGGUGCCCACCCUGCCAUGGCCAACGCGAUUCCACAAAAUUCUGCUUCAGGCCCCUUGUAUGUUAUUGUUCUACGGGAGUUCUUGGGUCAGCAUGGAGUUAAAAAUUGGUGUUUCUACUCAAACAUUAUAAUAGGAUUUUAUUCGAUAAAAACAGUAAUAUUUCUAAAUUAAACUACAAUAAUAUUCGCAUUUCUAAAUUCUAUAUCUUAUACUAAUUGAGCACUUCUGCGAUUCUUAAUACGAUUUAAUUUAUUUUUAUUUAUUGUGUAGGAUACGCGAAGAAAUGUACUAAUUCAAAAAUAAGACUUCUUUAGCUUUAUUGCUUAUAUAUUCAAACAGCGUA
Drosophila yakuba is the source of this 828-nucleotide long non-coding RNA. RefSeq lists it as uncharacterized. NCBI's taxonomy places the organism in Eukaryota, Metazoa, Arthropoda, Insecta, Diptera, Drosophilidae. The record is from RefSeq and is a predicted model, not a curated record. The transcript has 2 exons.